GGUCAGGUUGAAGUUCAGGUAACACUGAAUGGAGGACCGAACCGACUUACGUUGAAAAGUGAGCGGAUGAACUGAGGGUAGCGGAGAAAUUCCAAUCGAACUUGGAGAUAGCUGGUUCUCUCCGAAAUAGCUUUAGGGCUAGCCUCAAGUGAUGAUUAUUGGAGGUAGAGCACUGUUUGGACGAGGGGCCCCUCUCGGGUUACCGAAUUCAGACAAACUCCGAAUGCCAAAUAAUUUAACUUGGGAGUCAGAAUGUGGGUGAUAAGGUCCAUAUUCGAAAGGGAAACAGCCCAGACCACCAGCUAAGGUCCCAAAAUAUAUGUUAAGUGGAAAAGGAUGUGGCGUUGCCCAGACAACUAGGAUGUUGGCUUAGAAGCAGCCAUCAUUUAAAGAGUGCGUAAUAGCUCACUAGUCGAGUGACACUGCGCCGAAAAUGUACCGGGGCUAAACAUAUUACCGAAGCUGUGGAUUGUCCUUUGGACAAUGGUAGGAGAGCGUUCUAAGGGCGUUGAAGCAUGAUCGCAAGGACAUGUGGAGCGCUUAGAAGUGAGAAUGCCGGUGUGAGUAGCGAAAGACGGGUGAGAAUCCCGUCCACCGAUUGACUAAGGUUUCCAGAGGAAGGCUCGUCCGCUCUGGGUUAGUCGGGUCCUAAGCUGAGGCCGACAGGCGUAGGCGAUGGAUAACAGGUUGAUAUUCCUGUACCACCAUUAUUCGUUUUAAGCGAUGGGGGGACGCAGUAGGAUAGGCGAAGCGUGCUGUUGGAGUGCACGUCCAAGCAGUGAGAUUGAGUGUUAGGCAAAUCCGGCACUCUUAAGAUUGAGCUGUGAUGGGGAGAGGAACUUGUUCCUCGAGUCGUUGAUUUCACACUGCCGAGAAAAGCCUCUAGCUAGAAUAACGGUGCCCGUACCGCAAACCGACACAGGUAGUCAAGAUGAGAAUUCUAAGGUGAGCGAGCGAACUCUCGUUAAGGAACUCGGCAAAAUGACCCCGUAACUUCGGGAGAAGGGGUGCUCUUUGAGGUUCACGCUUCGAAGAGCCGCAGUGAAUAGGCCCAAGCGACUGUUUAUCAAAAACACAGGUCUCUGCUAAACCGUAAGGUGACGUAUAGGGGCUGACGCCUGCCCGGUGCUGGAAGGUUAAGAGGAGUGGUUAGCGCAAGCGAAGCUACGAAUCGAAGCCCCAGUAAACGGCGGCCGUAACUAUAACGGUCCUAAGGUAGCGAAAUUCCUUGUCGGGUAAGUUCCGACCCGCACGAAAGGCGUAACGAUUUGGGCACUGUCUCAACGAGAGACUCGGUGAAAUCAUAGUACCGGUGAAGAUGCCGGUUACCCGCGACAGGACGGAAAGACCCCGUGGAGCUUUACUGUAGCCUGAUAUUGAAAUUCGGUACAGUUUGUACAGGAUAGGUAGGAGCCUUAGAAGCGUGAGCGCUAGCUUACGUGGAGGCAUUGGUGGGAUACUACCCUAAUUGUAUUGGAUUUCUAACCCGCAGCACUUAUCGUGCUGGGAGACAGUGUCAGGCGGGCAGUUUGACUGGGGCGGUCGCCUCCUAAAGAGUAACGGAGGCGCUCAAAGGUUCCCUCAGAAUGGUUGGAAAUCAUUCAUAGAGUGUAAAGGCAUAAGGGAGCUUGACUGCGAGACCUACAAGUCGAGCAGGGUCGAAAGACGGACUUAGUGAUCCGGUGGUUCCGCAUGGAAGGGCCAUCGCUCAACGGAUAAAAGCUACCCCGGGGAUAACAGGCUUAUCUCCCCCAAGAGUUCACAUCGACGGGGAGGUUUGGCACCUCGAUGUCGGCUCAUCGCAUCCUGGGGCUGUAGUCGGUCCCAAGGGUUGGGCUGUUCGCCCAUUAAAGCGGUACGCGAGCUGGGUUCAGAACGUCGUGAGACAGUUCGGUCCCUAUCCGUCGUGGGCGUAGGAAAUUUGAGAGGAGCUGUCCUUAGUACGAGAGGACCGGGAUGGACAUACCUCUGGUGUACCAGUUGUCGUGCCAACGGCAUAGCUGGGUAGCUAUGUAUGGACGGGAUAAGUGCUGAAAGCAUCUAAGCAUGAAGCCCCCCUCGAGAUGAGAUUUCCCAACUUCGGUUAUAAGAUCCCUCAAAGAUGAUGAGGUGAAU
RNAcentral lists this ribosomal RNA (2115 nucleotides) under Staphylococcus pseudintermedius. Its description in RNAcentral is "partial 23S ribosomal RNA". It matches the Rfam family "Bacterial large subunit ribosomal RNA", at positions 738 to 2857 of the family's 2925-position model. Lineage: Bacteria; Bacillati; Bacillota; Bacilli; Caryophanales; Staphylococcaceae. The record is from RNAcentral.